UCUCUCUCUCGCUCUCUCUCUCUCUCUCUCUCUCUCUCUCUCUCUUUGUUGACUUUCCCUCUCCCUUCUCUCUAGAACAUUCUGGUGCUCUCUUCUUCUCCGAUGAACCCUACCACCUCUCCGGCCACCUCCAGCCUCAACUAUUUCGACCACCAGUCACCGUGAAGAUUUACCUCGUUUAUUCCCUAUAUCUUUGAGGCCCCAGGAGCCUCCACCAUGUGAGAUGGUCACUGAAGGUUUGUUCUGGUUAGUUUCCUGCUUUUCUCCGAUGGAUUUUGGUCAGAUGGUGCCGUGGACACCAUUAUUGCUGAGUUUCAUAGCCAGGUUUCUUUUAUCUCUUACUGGUUUCUUAUGAAACCCUAAUCUCUACCAAACCUCUCAAAUCUCUGUAGUUUUUACUAUUAUUUAACUCACACCUUUGUAUUUUACACUACUCUCUACUCGAUCUUUACGAUUGUUUAAAUUUUAAACGUUUUGUUCGCCUUUUGAAACUAGGGUUUGUGAACCCCUUUUAAAAAUCACUUUAUUUCCUGAUUUUUUGAGUAGUGACUCAUGAUUCUCAGUACUAUUUUAAAUGUUUUUGUUAAGUUUGAUGAAACACUAACUUUGUAUGAUUGUGUUUGCAUAUUUGCAUGUUUGUGUGUUCUUUUGGGUUCUUCUCCGAGUUCCAUGCUCUUUGCUUUAGAUUUGUUGUUAUUGUUUUAUUCCCCUACCAUUCUGUGUUCUUUGCUUAAAGCUUCUAUGAUUGAGCCCUCUUUGAGAUUGUGAUACUUUCUUUGAAAUUGAGAUUAUGCGUAUUUUCCCAAUAGUUUGAAUUGCUUCUUUAAAUUGUGGGUUACUUUCCUUGAUUAAUACUGAUUUCCCAGGUCUUCAAUCUCAUUCAUUAUUUUGAAAAUCAUUUCCCUGAAUAACAUUGGUAUUUUGACUUAUAUAUGUGCACAAAUUUGUUGAUUGAUUUGCCUGACCUAUUUCCCUAAAUAGAGUGCCAUGUACCUAGUCUUUAUUAAGUACUAUAUAUUAUUCGAUUUUUUUAUGUGAUUAUACCCUACUUUGUGAUUUCUUUCCUUUUGAAUGACAAAUUUUUAUCAUUUAAUUUUGAUUCCUUAAUUAAAGGGGAGUCUACAUACUAAUUUGAUUAUGAUUGAAGCCAGUUCCUUAAUUAAAGGAUUACUGCGUUAUUGUUUACUUGUAUUCAUUACUAUAAAUAAAUCCCACCCCCAUUCUCGUUUGCAAACACACAACAAUCUUCUGACUUACACCCACC
This 1264-nucleotide long non-coding RNA is filed under the name Nicotiana benthamiana. Its description in RNAcentral is "long non-coding RNA (NBEN_LNC029501)". The record is from RNAcentral. Lineage: Eukaryota; Viridiplantae; Streptophyta; Magnoliopsida; Solanales; Solanaceae.